Panthera pardus (leopard) is the source of this 107-nucleotide small nuclear RNA. Lineage: Eukaryota; Metazoa; Chordata; Mammalia; Carnivora; Felidae. The record is from Ensembl.
GUGCUCGCUUCGGCAGCACCUAUACUAAAAUUGGGACCAUCAGAGAAGAUGAGCAAUGGUCCCAGCACGAGGACAGCAUGCAGAUUCGCGAAGCCUUCCACGGGGAU